AUUGAACGCUGGCGGCAUGCCUUACACAUGCAAGUCGAACGGCAGCGGGCCCUUCGGGGUGCCGGCGAGUGGCGAACGGGUGAGUAAUGCAUCGGAACGUACCCGGGAGAGGGGGAUAACCGGCCGAAAGGCUGGCUAAUACCGCAUGAACUCGGAAGAGCAAAGCGGGGGACCUUCGGGCCUCGCGCUCUCGGAGCGGCCGAUGUCCGAUUAGGCUAGUUGGUGGGGUAAAGGCCCACCAAGGCGACGAUCGGUAGCGGGUCUGAGAGGACGAUCCGCCACACUGGGACUGAGACACGGCCCAGACUCCUACGGGAGGCAGCAGUGGGGAAUAUUGGACAAUGGGCGCAAGCCUGAUCCAGCAAUGCCGCGUGGGUGAAGAAGGCCUUCGGGUUGUAAAGCCCUUUCGGCGGGGAAGAAAUCGGUCAGGCGAAUAGUCUGGCCGGAUGACGGUACCCGCAGAAGAAGCACCGGCUAACUACGUG
This 485-nucleotide ribosomal RNA is filed under the name uncultured bacterium. RNAcentral describes it as "partial 16S ribosomal RNA". It matches the Rfam family "Bacterial small subunit ribosomal RNA", at positions 28 to 507 of the family's 1533-position model. The record is from RNAcentral.